RNAcentral lists this unclassified non-coding RNA (201 nucleotides) under soil metagenome. RNAcentral describes it as "partial internal transcribed spacer 1". The record is from RNAcentral.
CGAAAGGGCGACGGCGGAACGAUCUCCUCCAAGCUGUGUCCGGCAAAACGUCUUGUUUGGGGGGCAUCCUUCGGACCCUUGACGGUUGUAGCGAGUUUUCUGAGAGUAUCGCGCGUUAGGCAUCCGAUACGAGGAGAGUGGUCAGUCCUGACUUGGGUUCCCGGCAGGCUGGGAGCCUGCCCCACGUCUUGCUUCGAUAGG